GGAGGUGCAUUCGUCCUGGUGGGCGGCCCGGUCUUCAAAACCGGUGCGGCGUCGUAACGGGCGCCGGGUAAGUUCGAUUCUUACGCAUCUCCGCCA
RNAcentral lists this transfer RNA (96 nucleotides) under Candidatus Solincola sediminis. RNAcentral's name for it is "Actinobacteria bacterium RBG_16_55_12 tRNA-Sec". It matches the Rfam family "Selenocysteine transfer RNA". The record is from RNAcentral. RNAcentral also lists the same sequence under 1 other name. Lineage: Bacteria; Bacillati; Actinomycetota; Candidatus Geothermincolia; Candidatus Geothermincolales; Candidatus Geothermincolaceae.